UUAAACAACGUGGUGAUGUGAGAAUCGCUCUGAUCUUUUUAUGAAACUGCUCUCGUUUCAUUUCGUCUUAUGUUACUUGUCGUCAAAUUCUUGCUAUAUCUUUAAAAAGCGAUGUUCCACCUUCGUAAGAAACACCAACUGAAUUCCUUUGGGAUUAAAAGUCGGUAGACUGGAUGUACAUGGGGAGAACUACAAGCUAUGAAAGUAGUCAAGACGCAACAGCUGGACGGCAUCAGAUAAGAACAUAAAAUUUUGUUGAGUAAAAGCACAACACAACAUUUACGCAUGGUUAACAAUUCGUGAAUCUCCUUCCUAAUCCUUGGACAGGACAAAUUUUGAUUAGCUUUCGAGAAGAUGAUUCAAGUUAUUGUGUAUUUUUCAACAGGCAUGUAUGCAUGUUACAGGUCGGGACUUCUUGCAUAUAAUCUCCGCACUAAAAAUAUAUCAUCUAUUGUGAAUGCAUUGAUAAUGUAGCUUUACCGUUGGAGAAAAAAAGAAAAGUUGUGAAUGCAAUCUUCAACUACAUUGUACGUUUAAAUUGCGUCAACCCAGCAAUACUGUACACGCAAAGAAGUUAUGUUAUAUUGCAGCACGUUAUAUUCAGAGAAAAAUCUCAGUUGAGGCAACUGUGCAGUCACUGUGAGUGCAGUGUACAAUGUUAAAAAGGGAACCGUUUUAAAUGUAGAAGGGAGGAAAAAUCUGACUUGUUAAAGGCAUUAAUACCAAAUUGGAAUCAAGCUUUAAAUGGUUUGUUUCUACAAGCUGAAAAUUUUAUACAUUUUGCCAAAAAAAUUAGUAUGGUUUGUUUUUCAGUAUUUCUUGGAUUCUUGUUAUUUUUCUAGUGUUACAUGGCUGCGUGAAGCAUAUGGAGUUGCUGGUCCGAACAAGAAGUUGGCAUUCCACUGUUCAACAUGGCUUCAAUUCUUUCCGUUUUUCUGGUGUUACGUACUUGGGGUGCUUAGAGCGCAUGGAUUUUCUAGAAAAUGUAUUUCCUAAACGAAGACAUUUUACAGCAAAGUUGCACUAUAAAAAACAGAAGUAAAAGAUGAAGAAAUUAAAGUUAUUGCAACACUUGAAAACAAGAGAAUUACGAGUUUUUCAAUCCUGGGUGGGGUGUAUUUUUGUCAAUAUAAAAAUUGGAACACAUUCGUGUACUUUAAUUGAAUUUUCAUGAUCUUCUCCAAACUCUUUGAAGUUCUAUGUGAGGAAUCCUGCGAUGAUAAGUAUAAAAGUGAACAAUUUUAUU
Long non-coding RNA from Xenia sp. Carnegie-2017, 1246 nucleotides. RefSeq lists it as uncharacterized. The record is from RefSeq and is a predicted model, not a curated record. The transcript has 6 exons. NCBI's taxonomy places the organism in Eukaryota, Metazoa, Cnidaria, Anthozoa, Malacalcyonacea, Xeniidae.